UUGUAUUGUCUGGGAAGAAAAAGAGAGCAAUAUUGUCGUCACUUGGAGGUGAAGUCUGGAAACUCCUUGGCCAUGAAUCCAACCUUGAAAUCUUUAUCGUAUGGAGAAUUGGCGGCAGAGUUUUGGAAAUAUUAGACACUCUCUCACAUGCUUUUGUAGACAAGUGCGCAGAGAGCGAGCCAUACUCUUUGUCGCCAAUCUGAAAGCAUCCACUAUUAUAAAGGACGAGAAUGGCAAUCAAAAAGGCAUACAUGAGAUGGGUGGCAAAGAAAAAGAAAGAUUAUAUUAAAUUUGUAAAGAAAGGAUGAAUGCCUAAUUAUUAGACAAUAAUUUUGUAUAUGGCCUCUAAAAGUAAGUCCAGCCUCUAAAAGUAAGUCCGAGC
Molecule: long non-coding RNA, 382 nt
Filed under: Ananas comosus (pineapple)
Lineage: Eukaryota; Viridiplantae; Streptophyta; Magnoliopsida; Poales; Bromeliaceae
Description: long non-coding RNA (ACOM_LNC041472)
Source: RNAcentral